This 62-nucleotide transfer RNA is filed under the name Takydromus tachydromoides. RNAcentral's name for it is "tRNA-Cys". Lineage: Eukaryota; Metazoa; Chordata; Lepidosauria; Squamata; Lacertidae. The record is from RNAcentral.
AGUCUUGUGGUGUUUACGCCAAAAUGCAAAUUUGGAGAAGCACCCUAAAAGUGCCGGGACUU